This is a non-coding RNA of Hydra vulgaris (swiftwater hydra), 999 nucleotides long. The record is from RefSeq and is a predicted model, not a curated record. Lineage: Eukaryota; Metazoa; Cnidaria; Hydrozoa; Anthoathecata; Hydridae.
AUUUUUAAUUCAAUAUCAGUUUUUUAUUUGCUUAACAUAGAAAAAAAUUAUUCAUAAAUAAAAAAGGACAAUAGUUUGAAUAAAACUUGAUUGGUUUUAUUGUCAAGUAUAAAUUUACAAAGUUUACAUAUGUUACCAUCUGGUGGUGGAGUCCAAUUACCCCGUAAGGAAGGAGAUUUAUUAAAAUAUGGAAGUUUAUUAUCUGGUUGGUCUCCAAGAUUUUUUAAGUUAGAGAGAAGUUAUUUACACUACUAUAAAAACAAAUAUACUCAUUUACCUACUGCUACCAUUACUCGUGGAGAAAUAAGCUGCGUGAAGCCUUCAACAGCAUUUCCAGAUCGUAAAAAUGUUUUUGAAAUUGUUCAAGUAAAAGGAAUUGUAUGGUAUUGUCAAUCAUCUACUCCGGAAGAAAUGAGAUCUUGGAUAGAAGCACUUACUUCUCAAUCAUCCACAUUAUCAUCACAGCGCCCCCCUUCAUUAUCACCUCCUUCAUCUAAGUAUUCCUCGGUUCCAGAUUUUUCGAUGUUGAACAACAACAAUACCAAUCAGUACCAUGAUAAUCAACUUAAUGUACCUCUUGGAGGUUAUUGUAAUUCUCAGCCUGCGCAUGUUUAUUUUUCUCAUGUUACCCACUUGCAUCAGUUCAAGUACAACUGUUUUCCAAAAUUAUAUUUAUGAUCAUAGGGGCAAAAGCUUUGUUAUUCACGCAAAUAUUUUUGCAUGUUAUUUUUAUAACAUGAACAUGCAAGUGCACCACCUCCGUAUUCUUUUAUUAAUGCAGACCUUGUAUCCUCUGAUGUUAACACGUGUCCGCCUCCGUAUCAGCCACCUAUGUAGCCCCUUUAUUAGUUAUCAAUUAUCAUGUACAUAUUGUGAAUUUUCAAAAAUAAUUUUUGUAGAUAAUUUUUGUUAGUUUUAAUUUUUCCAAAGAUUGUAUGAAGGGAAUGAGUAAUUUUAUACUUUUUGUUUUAUUUGUCUUAAAAAUGUCAUCUAAUUUUA